RNAcentral lists this unclassified non-coding RNA (240 nucleotides) under soil metagenome. Its description in RNAcentral is "partial contains 5.8S ribosomal RNA, internal transcribed spacer 2, and large subunit ribosomal RNA". The record is from RNAcentral.
AACAUCGCGCACCUGCGGGAACCUGCGGAGGGAUCAUUACCGAGUGAGGGCCCUCCGGGUCCAACCUCCCACCCGUGUUUAACGAACCUUGUUGCUUCGGCGGGCCCGCCUCACGGCCGCCGGGGGGCACCCCGCCCCCGGGCCCGCGCCCGCCGAAGACACCUGUGAACGCUGUCUGAAGUUGCAGUCUGAGACACUAGCUCAAUCAGUUAAAACUUUCAGCAACGGAUCUCAGAUCGG